This 213-nucleotide long non-coding RNA is filed under the name Elaeis guineensis (African oil palm). RNAcentral's name for it is "long non-coding RNA (EGUI_LNC026711)". The record is from RNAcentral. Lineage: Eukaryota; Viridiplantae; Streptophyta; Magnoliopsida; Arecales; Arecaceae.
UACUUAAAGACGUGAUCUCAACUUAAUUUAAAAUAUUUAAAUUUGAAAUUAACUUGAUUCGAGAUCGAUCAAGCAUUAAUAUCCAAGUUCAAAUUUGACUAAAUCAAAGAAAAGCAAUCUCAAGAUACACUCAACUUCACUCUCAUAUUAACUGAACCAUACUCAAAUUCAAAUUCGAGUCUUAGAUAUAAUUAAAAAAAUAUUAGAGACUUA